This 219-nucleotide long non-coding RNA is filed under the name Panax ginseng (ginseng). Its description in RNAcentral is "long non-coding RNA (PGIN_LNC008008)". Lineage: Eukaryota; Viridiplantae; Streptophyta; Magnoliopsida; Apiales; Araliaceae. The record is from RNAcentral.
UACUCAUAGUACCAUAUUGCCCGAGUGUUGAUCUUUGCUCAGACAUUCUUUUGUGGGUUUUUCAGUAGUCAUAAUAUCAUAUUGUCCAAAUGUUGAUCUGAUUUACUGUCUUCUGUAUGCCAGGCUCGUGAUGGAGACACCAGUGACAGAAAUUUCAGAACUGCAGUCGGAUAAUUCUUCCAGUGUCAUUGACCAUAACCGUGAUAAUUUGGUUUCCAG